AGCUGAACCUCGGCUGGCUGCAGGCGUAGCCUGAAACUACGUCACGUGAGCCCAAUGCCGCCCCUCCCCAGCGGGCUCAGCCCCUCGGCCCCGCCCUCUCUCUUCAAGUGGCUUGGGAGCGCGCGCAUGCGCGCUUCUGGGAACCGUCCGGGGAUUCGGGUCGAACGUCAGAGGCGCGGGCCGGGCGUGCGCGGGCUCGGCGGAGGGCGGGAAGGCUGAAGGGCGGUGACAGGUCGCACCGCCUCGCGAGGGCCGGAACGCCCAUCUCUGCAGAGGUUUUUGUACGGACAUGAGUUUUCAACUCAUUUAGGUAAAUACCAAGGGGCAUGAUUGCUGGAUUAUAUGUUCUGUCUGCUUUUGCCUCAUAUAUUUUGACACUGUUGCUAGAUGGAUACACAAUAAGGAUUUUUAUGUUUUCUUGGAUAAUUAACACCUUUAUCGCUCUUUCCAGUCUACUGGUGAACCCAUCAAAGGUAUUUGUGUUUCUGUUACAGUUGUUUUUUAAAAAAAUUUCUAUCAUUUUUAAAAUUCUUUCUUGGAGAUUUUUUUUCUCUCUCUCUCUGCUUACAUUACCCAUUUGUUCUUACAUGUUGUCUACUUUUUCCAUUAGUGCUCUAAACAUAUUAAUUAUAAUUAUUUUAAAUUUACUUUCUGAUAAUUCUAAAAUCACUGUUAUAUUUAAGUCUGGUUCCUAUGCUUGCUUUAUCUUUACAGACUGUGUUUUUUCUUGCCUUUCUGCAUUCCUUGCAAUUUUUUGUUGAAAGUCAGGUAUAAUGUAUUGGGUAAUAGGAACUGAGGUAAUUAGGUUUUAGUUUGAGUUUUUAUGUUAAUCAAUUAGGAGUUGGGGUGUUUAAUGUUUGCUGUAGCUGUAGGUGCCAGAUGCUUUAGUUCAGUAUCUUUGGUUUUGUCUCCUUUGCUGUCUUUGCGUUUCCCUAUCAACUUCUUAAAUGGUCUGGGUUUCUCAGCUCUCUCACUGUAAUCUAUUGCUAUUAUACUGGAGCACUGUUGAUGCAGUGGCAUGGUGUUAGGGAAGGGAAAUGUUCUAUAAUUGAUGAUUAAAUUUCAGAUUUUUAUUUGAGUUCCUGGGCUGCAAUCUUCAGAAUUAUUUGUUAGCUUUUUUUCUCCCUUUAGGUGAGAUAAGAAGGCUAGAAAGGACUAGCACCGGCUAAUAGUCCCUUCCUAGGUCAAGAAUGGUUCUGGAAAGGUAGUUUCCCUUGUAGGGCAGGCAUUUGUUAUAAAGAAUAUUCUGAAUCUAUUUCAAAGUGGUUGCUUCCUGCUCCUCCUUCAGGAAACAGGAAGCAGAAAUUCUCUGAUCUACACUGUCAGAAAGUGGUGGGGUUCCUGAAGGCAAAACCCAUGAAAGUGUAGCCUUUGCCACCCAUUUGUCCCCCAGGAAUUUUCAACUUUCAAACUAGCCCACACACAGUCGCAAGCAAUUCACCAAAACCACAAUUUAAGUUUUCCUACCUAAUUGGCUCCAAUGGCUGCUGCUUCAGGAAAUCUAAGUUCUGCUCUGAUUCUCUGUAUUCACCUAUUGCUCCAGAUUUGGUGCUGGCAGGCUGCCCUGGGACCUCAAAUCUCUUGGUCUAAGAUAAAUCAUUGCUUUUCUGUUUGUUCAAUGUUUUGUUGUUGUUGAAAGGAGUGCCAUUUUCAAGCUCUGUACAUCUCAGAGCUCAAUAUUAGACAUUUGUGUUGGAAUUUCUUUCUUGGCUUGGAGUCAAGUGUCAGGACUGAUAUUCAGAGCCCAAACAUCACCAAGAAGCCGUACAAGUAGAAGUAUUGACCCUCAAGGUCAUUUUAGUAUUGAUUUUGUUAUGACAUAAUCACAUUAUUUUCUCUUUAUCCAUUGAGAACAAAUAGCAUGCAAUCUGUCACAGUCACUGAUUUGGCUAACUUGACUUCCAUGCCCAGCCUUAUUUUCUCUUGCCUGCCUCUAACCUAGAGACUGGAAAACCUAAAUAUGCAAGUUUCCAGCCAACCCUGAAGCCACAGCGGCCACAUGACUAUUUUUCUUUUUUUGCAAUUGUGAUCUAAACAUAAGUUUACAGGGAAGUUUCUAGAAAAGCUUUUGCUUUUUUGAGAAAAGGGGACAAAUUUGGCUGAUGUUGUAUCUUCUUUUGUAAUGCCUGCCUUGGUUAUGGAUGUGACACCUAAAGUUAGGGAAACCUUGAGGCUGUGGUUAAGAGAAUCGCAAGCCAUCCUUCCACCUCACCCUCUCGAGUAGCUGGGACUACAGGUGUUCGUCACCACACCCAACUAAUUUUGUAUUUUUCUGUAGAGCCGGGAUUUCACCAUGUUGCCCAAGAUAGUCUCGAACUCCUGAUCUCAAACGAUCUGCCCACUUUGGCCUCCCAAAGUGCUGGGAUUACAGGCAUGAGCCAUUGUGUCCAGCCACCACCAGACUUAUGUGAGAAAAAUAAACCUCUGUUUGAUUAGGUAUUGCUAAAGUGGCUUUUCAAUAACCUGCAGUCAUAUGCAUUUCUGAUAGAGCACCAAACCUAUAUGGAAUCUGAGGUACAAAGCAAACAACCAGACUAAUAGAUAACAACUAUGAAGAGCAGGCGUCAACCUGGCUACAAUGAGUCAUGUUGAGGCCCACCCAUUCAAAGAAUUAAAGCAAAGAUCAGUUUCAACAUUGUUGAAAUUCCAAGUACUAGAGUUUUGCUGGUUGCCAUUUGUUAUGCACAUAUGUCACAUGAAAUGUGGAGGGGAUGUUGUCUCUGUAAACUCAAAGUGCCAGUUUCAUUCCUGUAAUCCCAGUGGGAGGCCAAGUUAAGAAGACUGCUUGAGGCCAGGAGUUUGAGCCAUGCCUAGACAACAUAGUGAGACUUCCCUCUGCACCCCCCACCGCUCUAUAAGAAGUUAGAAAAUUAGCCUGGCAUGGUAGUGCAUGCCUAUAGUCUCAGUUACUUAGGAGGCUGAGGUGGGAGGAUCACUCCAGGUGGGGAGUUUGAGGCUACAGUGAGCUAUGAUCAGGCCACUGCACCCCAGCUUGGGCAACAAAGUAAGACCCUGUCUCUAAAAAAAGUUUAAGAAAGGAAAAAGAAAAAGAAAAAGCAUUAAACCAAGGCAUCAGUGACCAGUAACAUGAGAAAAUGGCAAUUUUCAAGGAGGUGGGAGCCUUAGUAGUUUCCCUGAGCUGCACAGAUGGAUCUGAGAAAUAAAAGUAAAAUUCUAAGCCUUCAUCUGAAUGAACAGACCCCCUCUUGGCCAGGAGAACUGCAGAGAAACCUUGAAAGCUGAAUUCAUGGCCAUGACAGGAUGAGAGAUUGGACACGCCUCAUUGUACUCCCUCCCUCACUAACAGUCAUAGGUUUUAUUUCCUAAGGGCUAAACAGAAACCAGCCCUUUCGAAAGACUACUAGAUUAUUGUCCCAGGUACAGAACAAAGACAAGAUGAGAUUAAUCAUUUAUUUACCUCUCCACAAGAAAUUUGCUUUCUCCAUGCCCUUUUUCUUCAAAUGUUAACCUUGUUUUAUGUAAGUGUGGAUUUACUGGACACUAAAGUCUCACAAAUAUAUAAUUAUUUGUCUCACUGCCACUCCUCAUUUUUUAAGAAAAAUGUGUAAAUACUAAACCUCCUGUUAACUUCUUUGGGAAAAACACAGCCACAGAUGCUUCUGUGACUCACAUUUUUCCUGGGUGCACCCUCAAGCUGGCUCAAUAAACCUUGAUGUUUUGAGACUUAUGGCACAAUCACUCAUUUUGAUUAUCAGAUCCAACCAAAGGAUAGAUUUCUAAGGUUUUUAUGAAUUAGGAAUGAGGCUCUUCUUUAACCAGUCUUCUUGGACAAGUUACUUGAUCUCUCUGUGCUUCAGUUUCCUUAUCCAUAAAAUGGGGAUAAUAAAAGUGUGCAUCUCAUUGGAGGUGUUGUGAACAUCAAAUGAGAUAAUCUAUGUAAAUAACUCAACCAGUGUCUGCACACAUUAAAUGUCUUUUCAACGAUGUUAAAACUGAAUUAUGGACCUAGCCCUCUGCAUGUAUUGCCCUCAUCAUCCACAAACCCACACAAAAUUUUGCCUCUGAGAAGUAGCACUUAUGACUAGUUUGUUCUGAUAUCAAGGAGUGCUUUAAGAGAGCGCUUAAUACUGAAGCAGAGAAAUAUUUCUAAGC
Long non-coding RNA from Papio anubis (olive baboon), 4113 nucleotides. The record is from Ensembl. Lineage: Eukaryota; Metazoa; Chordata; Mammalia; Primates; Cercopithecidae.